AUUGAACGCUGGCGGCGUGCCUAACACAUGCAAGUCGAGCGGCAGCGCGGGAGCAAUCCUGGCGGCGAGCGGCGGACGGGUGAGUAACGCUUGGGAAUCUGCCUGUUAGUGGGGGACAACCCGGGGAAACUCGGGCUAAUACCGCAUACGCACUACGGUGGAAAGCCGGGGACCGCAAGGCCUGGCGCUAACAGAUGAGCCCAAGUCGGAUUAGCUAGUUGGUAGGGUAACGGCCUACCAAGGCGACGAUCCGUAACUGGUCUGAGAGGACGACCAGUCACACCGGAACUGAGACACGGUCCGGACUCCUACGGGAGGCAGCAGUGGGGAAUAUUGGACAAUGGGGGAAACCCUGAUCCAGCGACGCCGCGUGGGUGAAGGAGGCCUGCGGGUUGUAAAGCCCUUUCAGUGGGGAAGAAAAGCCUCGACCUAACACGUCGGGGUCUUGACGUAACCCAUAGAAGAAGCACCGGCUAACUCUGUGCCAGCCGCCG
This 494-nucleotide ribosomal RNA is filed under the name uncultured bacterium. Its description in RNAcentral is "bacterial SSU rRNA". It matches the Rfam family "Bacterial small subunit ribosomal RNA", at positions 29 to 517 of the family's 1533-position model. The record is from RNAcentral.